CCCUUAGAUGUUCUGGGCCGCACGCGCGCUACACUGAUGAAUUCAACGAGCGCUAACCUGUGCAGAAAUGUUCGGGUAAUCUUGUGAAAUUUCAUCGUGAUGGGGAUUGAUUAUUGCAAUUAUUAAUCAUAAACGAGGAAUGCCUAGUAAGCGUGAGCCAUCAGCUCACGUUGAUUACGUCCCUGCCCUUUGUACACACCGCCCGUCGCUCCUACCGAUUGAAUGUGCUGGUGAACAAUUUGGACUGCUUUGAUUCGAUUAGAAUUUGAAGCGGAAAGUUUAGUGAACCUUAUCACUUAGAGGAAGGAGAAGUCGUAACA
Molecule: ribosomal RNA, 320 nt
Filed under: uncultured eukaryote
Lineage: Eukaryota
Description: partial 18S ribosomal RNA
Rfam family: Eukaryotic small subunit ribosomal RNA
Source: RNAcentral